RNAcentral lists this ribosomal RNA (468 nucleotides) under uncultured bacterium. RNAcentral's name for it is "partial 16S ribosomal RNA". It matches the Rfam family "Bacterial small subunit ribosomal RNA", at positions 28 to 507 of the family's 1533-position model. The record is from RNAcentral.
GACGAACGCUGGCGGCGUGCUUAACACAUGCAAGUCGAACGGAAAGGCCCUGCUUUUGUGGUGUGCUCGAGUGGCGAACGGGUGAGUAACACGUGAGUAACCUGCCCUUGACUUUGGGAUAACUUCAGGAAACUGGGGCUAAUACCGGAUAGGAUCUCCUGCUGCAUGGUGGGGGUUGGAAAGUUUCGGCGGUUGGGUAUGGACUCGCGGCUUAUCAGCUUGUUGGUGGGGUAGUGGCUUACCAAGGCUUUGACGGGUAGCCGGCCUGAGAGGGUUACCGGCCACAUUGGGACUGAGAUACGGCCCAGACUCCUACGGGAGGCAGCAGUGGGGAAUAUUGCACAAUGGGCGGAAGCCUGAUGCAGCAACGCCGCGUGCGGGAUGACGGCCUUCGGGUUGUAAACCGCUUUCGCCUGUGACGAAGCGUGAGUGACGGUAAUGGGUAAAGAAGCACCGGCUAACUACGUG